GACGAACGCUGGCGGCGUGCUUAACACAUGCAAGUCGAACGGAAAGGCCCUGCUUUUGUGGGGUGCUCGAGUGGCGAACGGGUGAGUAACACGUGAGUAACCUGCCCUUGACUUUGGGAUAACUUCAGGAAACUGGGGCUAAUACCGGAUAGGAGCUCCUGCUGCAUGGUGGGGGUUGGAAAGUUUCGGCGGGUGGGGAUGGACUCGCGGCUUAUCAGCUUGUUGGUGGGGUAGUGGCUUACCAAGGCUUUGACGGGUAGCCGGCCUGAGAGGGUGACCGGCCACAUUGGGACUGAGAGACGGCCCAGACUCCUACGGGAGGCAGAAGUGGGGAAUAUUGCACAAUGGGCGGAAGCCUGAUGCAGCAACGCCGCGUGCGGGAUGACGGCCUUCGGGUUGUAAACCGCUUUCGCCUGUGACGAAGCGUGAGUGACGGUAAUGGGUAAAGAAGCACCGGCUAACUACGUG
RNAcentral lists this ribosomal RNA (468 nucleotides) under uncultured bacterium. RNAcentral's name for it is "partial 16S ribosomal RNA". It matches the Rfam family "Bacterial small subunit ribosomal RNA", at positions 28 to 507 of the family's 1533-position model. The record is from RNAcentral.